Molecule: ribosomal RNA, 370 nt
Filed under: uncultured Actinomycetes bacterium
Lineage: Bacteria; Bacillati; Actinomycetota; Actinomycetes
Description: bacterial SSU rRNA
Rfam family: Bacterial small subunit ribosomal RNA
Source: RNAcentral
AAGGCUUGACAUAUAGGGAAAAGUGGCAGAGAUGUCAUGUCCGCAAGGGCUCUAUACAGGUGGUGCAUGGUUGUCGUCAGCUCGUGUCGUGAGAUGUUGGGUUAAGUCCCGCAACGAGCGCAACCCUCGUUCUGUGUUGCCAGCAUUUAGUUGGGGACUCACAGGAGACUGCCGGGGUUAACUCGGAGGAAGGUGGGGAUGACGUCAAAUCAUCAUGCCCCUUAUGUCUUGGGCUGCACGCAUGCUACAAUGGCCGGUACAGAGGGCUGCAAUACCGUAAGGUGGAGCGAAUCCCAAAAAGCCGGUCUCAGUUCGGAUUGAGGUCUGCAACUCGACCUCAUGAAGUUGGAGUGCUAGAAUCGAGAUCAGC